Long non-coding RNA from Corapipo altera (White-ruffed manakin), 504 nucleotides. RefSeq lists it as uncharacterized. The record is from RefSeq and is a predicted model, not a curated record. The transcript is spliced from 4 exons. Lineage: Eukaryota; Metazoa; Chordata; Aves; Passeriformes; Pipridae.
UGCAAUUCUUUCCUUUUAAUGGCCUUUACCUACCAAACAUAGCAAAGACCACAAAGAGAAAGUAACAGUACCAUCAGCCGUAGGCAGUGUUACCUGGGGCCUGGAGCACAAAGUAGCUGUGGAGGUAGAUCCAAUACAGAAGACAUAGCAGUGUAGAAGGCUGCCAAGCAUGGUUACCAAGACAAAACUCUGAACUUUCUACUGACAAUAGCAGAUCUAAGUUUGAUGUUUGCCUACAACAGUGAAAAAUCCUACUGUUCCAUGGAAUCUGUAUGUAGAGAUUUUAAACGUGUUGAACAUGGAAAGCAGCAGAGCCAAUGAGAAGGAAUACAAUAGGAUGCGUCUUUCCUCACACCUGGUAGAAGCUCAGUUCUUUCUUCUUUAUUCUUCUGAAAAUACUGAAGAACGAAGGAGAGACAUAAAGGAAAACAACAGUACUCCAAGCAUUUACAACUUUUGUCAUAAGAAGAGAAGAAAGCAACAGCGAAACAGUGUGUAUCUAAA